Molecule: ribosomal RNA, 1043 nt
Filed under: Tsukamurella sp. AB79
Lineage: Bacteria; Bacillati; Actinomycetota; Actinomycetes; Mycobacteriales; Tsukamurellaceae
Description: bacterial SSU rRNA
Rfam family: Bacterial small subunit ribosomal RNA
Source: RNAcentral
GUAAACCUUUUUCAGUAGGGCGAAGCGCAAGUGACGGUUCCUUCAGAAGAAGCCCCGGCCCAAUACGUGCCAGCAGCCGCGGGUAAUACGUAGGGUGCGAGCGUUGUCCGGAUUACUGGGGCGUAAAAGAGCUCGUAGGCGGUUUGUCACGUCGUCUGUGAAAACCCGAGGCUUAACCUCGGGCCUGCAGGCGAUACGGGCAGACUUGAGUACUGUAGGGGAGACUGGAAUUCCUGGUGUAGCGGUGGAAUGCGCAGAUAUCAGGAGGGAACACCGGUGGCGAAGGCGGGUCUCUGGGCAGUAACUGACGCUGAGGAGCGAAAGCGUGGGUAGCGAACAGGAUUAGAUACCCUGGUAGUCCACGCCGUAAACGGUGGGUACUAGGUGUGGGUUUCCUUCCACGGGAUCCGUGCCGUAGCUAACGCAUUAAGUACCCCGCCUGGGGAGUACGGCCGCAAGGCUAAAACUCAAAGGAAUUGACGGGGGCCCGCACAAGCGGCGGAGCAUGUGGAUUAAUUCGAUGCAACGCGAAGAACCUUACCUGGGUUUGACAUAUAGAGGAUCGCCGGAGAGAUUCGGUUUGCCUUGUGCCUUCUAUACAGGUGGUGCAUGGCUGUCGUCAGCUCGUGUCGUGAGAUGUUGGGUUAAGUCCCGCAACGAGCGCAACCCUUGUCUCAUGUUGCCAGCACGUAAUGGUGGGGACUCGUGAGAGACUGCCGGGGUCAACUCGGAGGAAGGUGGGGAUGACGUCAAGUCAUCAUGCCCCUUAUGUCCAGGGCUUCACACAUGCUACAAUGGCGCGUACAGAGGGCUGCGAUACCGCGAGGUGGAGCGAAUCCCUUAAAGCGCGUCUCAGUUCGGAUUGGGGUCUGCAACUCGACCCCAUGAAGUCGGAGUCGCUAGUAAUCGCAGAUCAGCAACGCUGCGGUGAAUACGUUCCCGGGCCUUGUACACACCGCCCGUCACGUCAUGAAAGUCGGUAACACCCGAAGCCGGUGGCCUAACCCCUUGUGGGAGGGAGCUGUCGAAGGUGGGAUUUUCCG